RNAcentral lists this ribosomal RNA (488 nucleotides) under uncultured organism. RNAcentral's name for it is "bacterial SSU rRNA". It matches the Rfam family "Bacterial small subunit ribosomal RNA", at positions 29 to 507 of the family's 1533-position model. The record is from RNAcentral.
AGUGAACGCUGGCGGCAUGCCUAACACAUGCAAGUCGAACGAGACUCGGCCGAUCAUCGUCGAGUUUAGUGGCAAACGGGUGCGUAAUACGUAACCAAUCUUCCUUCGAGUGGGGGAUAACCCCGGGAAACCGGGGCUAAUACCGCGUGAGACCACGUCCUGGCAUCAGGAUGAGGUUAAAGCUCCGCAAGGGGCGCUUGAAGAGGGGGGUACGGCCUAUCAGCUUGUUGGCGGGGUUAAAGCCCACCAAGGCGACGACGGGUAGCCGGUCUGAAAGGACGACCGGCCACAAUGGCACUGAGACACGGGCCAUACUCCUACGGGAGGCAGCAGUGGGGAAUUUUGCGCAAUGGGGGAAACCCUGACGCAGCAAUGCCGCGUGGAGGACGAAGGUCUUCGGAUUGUAAACUCCUUUUGCCGGUGAAAAAAAGCCGUGUGAAUAACACGGACUGAUGGUAACCGGUGAAUAAGCCACGGCUAACUUCGUG